RNAcentral lists this transfer RNA (71 nucleotides) under Polyacanthonotus rissoanus (smallmouth spiny eel). RNAcentral's name for it is "tRNA-Asp". It matches the Rfam family "tRNA". Rfam says of the family: Transfer RNA (tRNA) molecules are approximately 80 nucleotides in length. Their secondary structure includes four short double-helical elements and three loops (D, anti-codon, and T loops). Lineage: Eukaryota; Metazoa; Chordata; Actinopteri; Notacanthiformes; Notacanthidae. The record is from RNAcentral.
AAGGUGCUAGUAGAAUGGAAUUACACUACCUUGUCAAGGCAGAAUUGUGGGUUUAACCCCCGCGCAUCUUA